This is a long non-coding RNA of Mugil cephalus (flathead mullet), 345 nucleotides long. RefSeq lists it as uncharacterized. NCBI's taxonomy places the organism in Eukaryota, Metazoa, Chordata, Actinopteri, Mugiliformes, Mugilidae. The record is from RefSeq and is a predicted model, not a curated record. The transcript has 3 exons.
GCUGGGGAGUGUGGCCCUGGGUGGACUGACUGUUGUCCUUGUAAUGGUCAUCAUUGGUCUGGUUGUUCAAAACUUGAUGCUUAAAAAAGCUCAAGAAGAACAGAAUCCAGAGCAAAGUCAGAAACGUGGCUCUGAUGACCUGAACUAUGCUUCAGUGACUUUCUGAGAGAAAAAAGAAGAAAACCAGAGACAAAUGUUGUUUAUGCUGCUACCAGAUAGACUCAGGAGAAACUGGGAAUGAUACUGUAUCAUGAUAAUAUGCUCUGUGGCUCUGGAUGGUUUGUUGAUAGGUGGAAAACAAAAUCUCAUUCCGCAAUAAAGACCCAAUAUUCAUUCACUGUCGUA